Non-coding RNA from Salvelinus fontinalis (brook trout), 66 nucleotides. RefSeq annotates it as small Cajal body-specific RNA ncR26. The transcript has a single exon. The record is from RefSeq and is a predicted model, not a curated record. Lineage: Eukaryota; Metazoa; Chordata; Actinopteri; Salmoniformes; Salmonidae.
UCUGAAAACCUGUUUUCGCUUUGUCAUUAUGAUAUAUUGUAUGAAGUUUGAGGACAAUUUUUUAUU